AGCGUAGGCGGAUUUUUAAGUGAGAUGUGAAAUAUUCGGGCUUAACCUGAGUGCUGCAUUUCAAACUGGAAGUCUAGAGUGCAGGAGAGGAGAAGGGAAUUCCUAGUGUAGCGGUGAAAUGCGUAGAGAUUAGGAAGAACACCAGUGGCGAAGGCGCUUCUCUGGACUGUAACUGACGCUGAGGCUCGAAAGCGUGGGAGCAAACA
Molecule: ribosomal RNA, 206 nt
Filed under: uncultured bacterium
Lineage: Bacteria
Description: partial 16S ribosomal RNA
Rfam family: Bacterial small subunit ribosomal RNA
Source: RNAcentral